GAUGAACGCUAGCUACAGGCUUAACACAUGCAAGUCGAGGGGAAACGGCAUCGAAAGCUUGCUUUUGAUGGGCGUCGACCGGCGCACGGGUGAGUAACGCGUAUCCAACCUGCCCAUCACUUGGGAAUAACCUUGCGAAAGUAAGACUAAUGCCCAAUGACAUCCCACGAAGGCAUCCGAAUGGGAUUAAAGAUUUAUCGGUGAUGGAUGGGGAUGCGUCUGAUUAGCUUGUUGGCGGGGUGACGGCCCACCAAGGCAACGAUCAGUAGGGGUUCUGAGAGGAAGGCCCCCAACAGUGGAACUGAAACAGCGCCAAAAAUCCUACGGGAGGAAGCAGGGGGGAAUAUUGGUAAAGGGGCGAGGCCCUGAACCAGCAAAGUAGGGUGGAGGAUGACGGCCCUAGGGGUUUGAACCUGCUUUUAUAAGGGAAUAAAGGGGGUCACGUGUGAUUUUUGGCAUGUACCUUAGGAAUAAGGACCGGCUAAUUCCGG
Molecule: ribosomal RNA, 491 nt
Filed under: uncultured bacterium
Lineage: Bacteria
Description: partial 16S ribosomal RNA
Rfam family: Bacterial small subunit ribosomal RNA
Source: RNAcentral